Canis lupus familiaris (dog) is the source of this 158-nucleotide non-coding RNA. Lineage: Eukaryota; Metazoa; Chordata; Mammalia; Carnivora; Canidae. The record is from Rfam.
AUCGCUUCUUGGCCUUUUGGCUAAGAUCAAGUGUAGUAUCUACUAAGAAAACAAAGUAAUUGUUUGGAAGCAGAGCAGAGGAGAAAGAAGAUGAAGGGACUCGAGACCCGUACUCCCCUACUGUUGACCAUACAUUAGCUUCUGAUAGAUGAAUAUUC